AACGCUGGCGGCGUGCCUAAUACAUGCAAGUCGAGCGAACAGACGAGGAGCUUGCUCCUCUGACGUUAGCGGCGGACGGGUGAGUAACACGUGGAUAACCUACCUAUAAGACUGGGAUAACUUCGGGAAACCGGAGCUAAUACCGGAUAAUAUAUUGAACCGCAUGGUUCAAUAGUGAAAGACGGUUUUGCUGUCACUUAUAGAUGGAUCCGCGCCGCAUUAGCUAGUUGGUAAGGUAACGGCUUACCAAGGCAACGAUGCGUAGCCGAGGUGAGAGGGUGAUCGGCCACACUGGGGCUGAGACACGGUCCAGACUCCUACGGGAGGCAGCAGUAGGGAAUCUUCCGCAAUGGGCGAAAGCCUGACGGAGCAACGCCGCGUGAGUGAUGAAGGUCUUCGGAUCGUAAAGCUCUGUUAUUAGGGAAGAACAAAUGUGUAAGUAACUAUGCACGUCUUGACGGUACCUAAUCAGAAAGCCACGGCUAACU
RNAcentral lists this ribosomal RNA (488 nucleotides) under Staphylococcus sp. AS-24. RNAcentral describes it as "bacterial SSU rRNA". It matches the Rfam family "Bacterial small subunit ribosomal RNA", at positions 32 to 502 of the family's 1533-position model. Lineage: Bacteria; Bacillati; Bacillota; Bacilli; Caryophanales; Staphylococcaceae. The record is from RNAcentral.